RNAcentral lists this unclassified non-coding RNA (19 nucleotides) under Chlamydomonas reinhardtii. RNAcentral describes it as "small RNA Cre_2678". The record is from RNAcentral. Lineage: Eukaryota; Viridiplantae; Chlorophyta; Chlorophyceae; Chlamydomonadales; Chlamydomonadaceae.
UCGCUUCUCGGCUAGUGCA